UCCUCCCUUAUUAUCUCUCUUAAUUUUUUUCUUAUUGAAAAAAUUGAUAUUCUUCGUUCAAUAUAUCGAUACAGUGUACACGCGAUAUACAUAGAUAUCGUAUCCAACUCGAAGAGAUACUAAUAUUCUUUGAAUAAGAUGGAAUGAAAAAAAAAAAUAAAUAAAUAAAGCAAAAGUAUCGAGAGAUAUUUCCAAAUAUCGAACGUCAAACAAGAUAAAAAAGGAAAAAGGAAUGCACGCCACGAUUUUCCCACGUCCAAACUUCCGCUCCAUCUAUAUCGUUAUCUACAACUACUUGAACAAACUCGGGACGAAAACUCGGGCAGGCCUGACGUGAACGAUAACGAUCGUCUGUUGACUCUCGAAAGAAUAUCGAUCAUCCAUCCUCCGAAGCUCGUCGAUUAUCUCCUCGAAUGAAUAUUUGCAAAACGUCUCCUCAGAGAUAGAAAACCGUGAAGAUUCGAAGGUUCUUUUUCCCGAGGAUAGAGAGGUUAGAAAAUUCGUUUGUUUCUCUGCCUGUUUAAACUGACACGGAAAUGGUAAAUAUUGCCUGUGCGAAACGUGGUUUGCGCUUCGCUUGGAAGAUUCCUCCUCGGUAUCGUCACGAAGAAUAGAGAGUAGCUUUAACGAAAUGAGAAGAGAUAAUAGAAUUCUUCUGUAAAAAAAAUCGUUAUGAUGAAUUUCGAUGAAAUGGAAAUUAUUUCUAUCGAUUUAUCUAAUUUAUCUGUUGUAAAUAGAACACAAGAAGAGAAACGAUUCUUCGUUUAUUCGUUUUCUUUAACUUUCUGGAAUCCUUAAGGAGAUGGAAGAUUGUUGUACGAAUGUGGAAUAAAUAAAUGAUAAUCGAUGAUUGAACAAGAGUUGUUCUUUAAGAGGGUUGAAAAACAAAAAAGGAACAAGUUGAACGGAGGAAGUAAAAUUUAUAACACGAAGAAAAUCGUUAUUUACGGUCUCCUUAAGUGGAUCGUUAGUCCGUGAUCCGAUUUAGCAAGAACAACCGGUCCUCCUCGCUGGAUCGGCCCGAUCAUCUGAACAAAUACGAGACACAUGCUCAAAUAGAAUAUUCGCUGCUUUGUUGUCGUCGAUAAGCUGCUUAACACCGUUGGAUCACCAUACAGCCAUACUAGCAUUAAUUACUCGUUCCAUUGUAAAUGAAUUUUUUUUUAAAACGUGAAAACAUUCUGCAUAAAAUUGUAUUUAAAAAUACGCAUUUUUUCAUAGAGUAUGGUAUGUACAAAUUUUGGAAAUUUUAUAAAUAAGAAUUUUCGAAAGUAAUUCGAAAGUGGAAAGUAUUUUUUUUUUUUACAAAUGGAUACCCUUCAGCGUAAUUUUCACUCUUAACACCGCUUGCGAAAAAAAUAUAUUCUCCAAUUCUACUCUCGACUGAGCAUGCGUCUUAAGGGUUCGGAAGUAAAUUCGAGAGUAAAACUUUUCAAUAUUUACUUUCGAAAUAUAAUUUUUCCGACGACGAUUAAUUUUAAUUUCGAAAGGGAGAGAAUUAAUUUUCCAAACUUUUUUUUUUUUUUAUUACGUAUAAUUUUUUCACAGAGUGGAGAAAUUAUUCUCCAUGGUGGUUUUUGAAUUUCAAAUCGUAUCCUCCGAAUAAAUCUAUUUCGGAGGAUCGAAAGAAACGUCUGCUCGAUGCAUCAUUGUCACGGCUGUUUCCUCGCGUAUCUCUUUCUUUUACUUUCUUUCUCCGUUCUCCCCACGAUGACUAAGAGUUUUCGUAUCAGGUGAUCAGAUCGAAGGAUUAACACGGCGUCCGCUUAAAAACUUGGCCUGCUGAUCAUAGAUGCGGUAUUCAUGAAAACGAAAGCAUUCUGUAACCCUUCUCGAAGGUUACAUAAUGUAUCAGAAGACAACGGAACCUGGGCGAAUCGCAUUAUACAGAUCUGGAUCGUGAUCGUCUGGAAGAAAAAAAAAAAA
Molecule: long non-coding RNA, 1926 nt
Filed under: Apis mellifera (honey bee)
Lineage: Eukaryota; Metazoa; Arthropoda; Insecta; Hymenoptera; Apidae
Description: uncharacterized LOC107965290
Source: RNAcentral